UAAGGGAUAGUAUUAGGGGAGUACGAAGAAUUUUGAUUUCUUAGGUGUAGGUUCGAGUCCUACUUCUUUAU
RNAcentral lists this transfer RNA (71 nucleotides) under Boophis madagascariensis (Madagascar bright-eyed frog). Its description in RNAcentral is "tRNA-Gln". It matches the Rfam family "tRNA". Rfam says of the family: Transfer RNA (tRNA) molecules are approximately 80 nucleotides in length. Lineage: Eukaryota; Metazoa; Chordata; Amphibia; Anura; Mantellidae. The record is from RNAcentral.